Myotis daubentonii (Daubenton's bat) is the source of this 1386-nucleotide RNA transcript. It is a transcript of the gene named shisa family member 4, with no coding region annotated. NCBI's taxonomy places the organism in Eukaryota, Metazoa, Chordata, Mammalia, Chiroptera, Vespertilionidae. The record is from RefSeq and is a predicted model, not a curated record.
CGGACAGCCCGGCUGGGCACCGGCCCGGUGUCCACACCGCCCACGUGGGGCGGGGCCGCGGGAGCCGGCGGCGGGCAGGCCCGGCCUGCGGGAGGCACAGCUGGGGACAGAGCGGCUCGGCGCUGCCUCGGCGGGGCCGGUUCUGGGAGCCUCGCCCCGCGCCGCCCCGGCGUCCUGGGCUGGACAGGCCAGCGGAGGUCCAGCCCUGCCCUCCAGGGGGCGGCACCGGAUCCGGGCUGCUCGGGCCCAGGGCACGGAUUGGGCGCUGCGCGGGGACGGGCCACCGCCGAGGGGACCGUGCCAGGCGAGGCCGGGGCAGGGCCGGGGCGUGGUCACCGCUGCCCGCAGUCCCUGCGGCCACCACACCGUGCCUGGCACUGGGCAGGACCCGCAGCGCCCUCUUCCCACCAUGCCCCUCACGGCCAUCGCCCUCCUGCUGCUGGGGGCCCCCCUGGCGCUGGCCAGCACCGACUGCCUGGGGUACCUGGACGAGGCCGACUCAUGGCGCCUGGGCUUCAGCUGCGAGUCCCCCACCUUCUGCUGUGGCACCUGCCGCCAGCGCUACUGCUGCGGGGACCGGAGCCUGCGCCUGUCCGAGUUCCAGCAGAAGCGCUGCCUGGUCUUCAGUCCCAAGUUCGUGGUGGGCCUGGUCACAGCCGUGACCCUCUUCAUGGCCAUGGUCGCCGCCUGCUGCUGCUGCUUCUGCAUCUGCCGCUACCUGGUCCGCCAGCGCCAGCGGCUGCUGGGCCCCUUCGCAGGUGGGGACGGAGCCGCCACCAGGAGCCCAGACAGGCCAGGACAUUCCAAUGAGGGGCGCCCUCCAACCGGCGAUGUACCCGUACCCCCCGGACUCCAAGGCUGACCCCGCCCCCCCACCCCAGGGCUUCAUGUGGCCCCCCAGUGCUCCUCCCCAGCCUCCUCUCUACCCGGCAGAGCCCCCUGUCUACAGCCCUGCAGCUCCUCCCCCUUAUCUGCCACAGCAGCGCACCUACCCCAGAACCUGAGGGACCGUGUCAUCUGCCAUCGCAGGGGGCCCCCCUGUGUCUGCCGCUGGCCCCGGGGGUGGCAGGGGUCACCCACUCAACAGGCCCCCAACCAAGCCACCCCCUGCGCCGUGCAGGGAAGUGGACAGGAGCUGGGCGGGAACUUGGCCACGAAUGAGGGCUGGUGGGGGCGGAGGGGCUUGGCAUUGCUGCACUAUUUUUAUUUCUAAUGGGGGCCAGGGGAGGGCCGCAGUGUGGGUCCCCGCCCUGGUCCCUCUGCUCCCAAGACCCUCCUGCUUGCCCUGGGGGCUGGGUGGGGCUCUGUCAGCCGCCUGCCCGCUGGAGCCCGCGGGCUGUCCCACGGCCCUGGCCGGGCUGCCGAUUAAAGCUGAGAGGUAACUCA